CCUUCGUGUUACUGCUCCCCAGUCACUUACUGCAGGAAGCGCCAUCCACGGGGUGCAGUACAUCCCACCGCUGCCACCAGUUGUCACGGAGUCCCUGGGCGAUGCUCUGGAACUGCUCCCCAUGAAGCCAGUCAGGACUCUGGGGUAGUCGCCUUUCUGUGAGCAGACUGUCUUCAGGACACACAGCUCACACAGCUUCCACCUUCCUGGGUCUGACCUCGGAGCAUUCAGCAUCCUCUGCCUCUCCGUGUGCUUCCCCCAGCGAGUCCGCUCAGGCGGUGCUCCUGGGGAAGCCAGAGGGUCCUGCACCCCAACUUCGCAGUCAGACGUGACUCUCAGCCAGCCAGUAAAACAGAAGGUUUAUUAGACGACAGGAACAUGGUCUAAAACAGAGCUUGCAGGUGCAGAGAACGGGACCCCUCAGCUGGGUCCAUUCUGGGGGGCAGUGAGCCAGAUAACCACGUCUGCACUUCACUCCAUGUCCCAGCCAGCCCCAAACUGAAAACCCCCUCCAGCCCCUCCUCCUCUGGGCUUUGUUCCUUUCCCGGGCCAGGAGGUCACCUGAUUCCUUUGUUCUCCAACCCUUUAGCUCUCACCUUGCAGGGGGGAAGGGCCCAGGCCAU
Caretta caretta (loggerhead turtle) is the source of this 623-nucleotide non-coding RNA. NCBI's taxonomy places the organism in Eukaryota, Metazoa, Chordata, Testudines, Cheloniidae. The record is from RefSeq and is a predicted model, not a curated record.